AAGAAUUUAGUUAAAUAUAUAACAUUAGAUUGUCAAACUAAAAUUAUUAGUAUUAAUAAUUCUUA
RNAcentral lists this transfer RNA (65 nucleotides) under Colasposoma dauricum. Its description in RNAcentral is "tRNA-Asp". The record is from RNAcentral. Lineage: Eukaryota; Metazoa; Arthropoda; Insecta; Coleoptera; Chrysomelidae.